RNAcentral lists this ribosomal RNA (237 nucleotides) under Pseudomonas sp. 2588-5. Its description in RNAcentral is "partial 16S ribosomal RNA". It matches the Rfam family "Bacterial small subunit ribosomal RNA", at positions 1305 to 1533 of the family's 1533-position model. The record is from RNAcentral. Lineage: Bacteria; Pseudomonadati; Pseudomonadota; Gammaproteobacteria; Pseudomonadales; Pseudomonadaceae.
CUGCAACUCGCCUGCAUGAAGCCGGAAUUGCUAGUAAUCGCGGAUCAGCAUGCCACGGUGAAUACGUUCCCGGGCCUCGUACACACCGCCCGUCACACCACGAGAGUUUGUAACACCCGAAGUCGGUGCGGUAACCUUUUGGAGCCAGCCGCCGAAGGUGGGACAGAUGAUUGGGGUGAAGUCGUAACAAGGUAUCCCUACCGGAAGGUGGGGAUGGAUCACCUCCUUUCUAAGGAG